This 429-nucleotide ribosomal RNA is filed under the name uncultured bacterium. RNAcentral's name for it is "bacterial SSU rRNA". It matches the Rfam family "Bacterial small subunit ribosomal RNA", at positions 355 to 776 of the family's 1533-position model. The record is from RNAcentral.
UGAGGAAUAUUGCGCAAUGGGCGAAAGCCUGACGCAGCGACGCCGCGUGGAGGAUGAAGGUCUUCGGAUUGUAAACUUCUGUUAAGUGGGAAAAAAUACGUAGGGUUAAUACCCCUAUAUGAUGAUGGUACUACUAGAGAAAGCACUGGCUAAUCUCGUGCCAGCAGCCGCGGUAAUACGAGAGGUGCAAGCGUUAUUCGGAAUCAUUGGGCGUAAAGGGUGCGCAGGCGGCACGUUAAGUCAAUUGUUUAAUUCCUCGGCCUAACCGAGGGUCAGCAGUAGAUACUGAUGUGCUAGAGUAUGGAAGAGAGGAGUGGAAUUCUCGGAGUAGCGGUAAAAUGCGUAGAUCUCGAGAGGAACACCGAUGGCGAAGGCAGCUCCUUGGUCCAUUACUGACGCUCAUGCACGAAAGCGUGGGGAGCAAACAGG